GCGAGACAGAAUCAACUCACCUUUUCCGGUGUUUGAAAACUUCUGAGAACUUUUGAAUUAAGGAGCAGGUGACGUCAUCACCAGCUCGUGGAUCCAUUACUGAGACGAAGAUGAAAUCUCUGGAAGCAGCGUUUCUGUUGCUCAAGGGCACUUCGGUGGGACCAUGUGUCUGGGAUCGAACCUGUGACGGGACGAGGCCACGCUGGACGUCCUGUGUUGACGAGUUUCGUCCUGGAGCGAGUCACAGGUCAGAGACUCAGACUCUUCAGCUCGUUGACUCAG
Long non-coding RNA from Hippoglossus stenolepis (Pacific halibut), 282 nucleotides. RefSeq lists it as uncharacterized. The transcript has 3 exons. The record is from RefSeq and is a predicted model, not a curated record. Lineage: Eukaryota; Metazoa; Chordata; Actinopteri; Pleuronectiformes; Pleuronectidae.